UUUCUUUGCUGGCGACCGGCGCACGGGUGAGUAACACGUAUCCAACCUGCCCUUUAUUCGGGGAUAGCCUUUCGAAAGAAAGAUUAAUACCCGAUAGCAUAAUGAUUCCGCAUGGUUUCAUUAUUAAAGGAUUCCGGUAAAGGAUGGGGAUGCGUUCCAUUAGGUUGUUGGUGAGGUAACGGCUCACCAAGCCUUCGAUGGAUAGGGGUUCUGAGAGGAAGGUCCCCCACAUUGGAACUGAGACACGGUCCAA
This 253-nucleotide ribosomal RNA is filed under the name uncultured bacterium. Its description in RNAcentral is "partial 16S ribosomal RNA". It matches the Rfam family "Bacterial small subunit ribosomal RNA", at positions 80 to 334 of the family's 1533-position model. The record is from RNAcentral.